RNAcentral lists this ribosomal RNA (445 nucleotides) under uncultured bacterium. RNAcentral describes it as "SSU rRNA". It matches the Rfam family "Bacterial small subunit ribosomal RNA", at positions 26 to 518 of the family's 1533-position model. The record is from RNAcentral.
AGAACGAACGCUGGCGGCAGGCCUAACACAUGCAAGUCGAACGCUGUAGCAAUACAGAGUGGCAGACGGGUGAGUAACGCGUGGGAACCUUCCCAGUGGUGCGGAAUAGCUCAGGGAAACUUGAGGUAAUACCGCAUAAGCCCUUAGGGGGAAAGAUUUAUCGCCAUUGGAUGGGCCCGCGUCGGAUUAGCUAGUUGGUGAGGUAAUGGCUCACCAAGGCAACGAUCCGUAGCUGGUUUGAGAGAAUGACCAGCCACACUGGGACUGAGACACGGCCCAGACUCCUACGGGAGGCAGCAGUGGGGAAUCUUGGACAAUGGGCGCAAGCCUGAUCCAGCCAUGCCGCGUGAGUGACGAAGGCCUUAGGGUUGUAAAGCUCUUUUGCCGGGACGAUAAUGACGGUACCCGGAGAAUAAGUCCCGGCUAACUUCGUGCCAGCAGCCGC